This 66-nucleotide ribosomal RNA is filed under the name Pseudomonas aeruginosa. Lineage: Bacteria; Pseudomonadati; Pseudomonadota; Gammaproteobacteria; Pseudomonadales; Pseudomonadaceae. The record is from RNAcentral. RNAcentral also lists the same sequence under 13 other names.
UCUGGCGGCAGUAGCGCGGUGGUCCCACCUGACCCCAUGCCGAACUCAGAAGUGAAACGCCGUAGC